Molecule: long non-coding RNA, 605 nt
Organism: Oncorhynchus keta (chum salmon)
Lineage: Eukaryota; Metazoa; Chordata; Actinopteri; Salmoniformes; Salmonidae
Exons: 3
Source: RefSeq, a predicted model, not a curated record
UAAAACCCUGUUUGUCCCCAGGUGAGCGCUUGUUCCCGUGCAUCCAGAACAUGCACCCCAGUCUGGCUGGGAAGAUCACUGGCAUGCUGCUGGAGAUAGACAACUCUGAACUACUUCACAUGCUGGAGUCUCCCGAGUCUCUCCGCUCUAAGGUGGAUGAGGCUGUGGCUGUGCUGCAGGCCCACCAGGCCAAGGAAUUAGUCCAGAAGACUGUCCCCAACUCUGCUGGUGGUCCGAGUGUCUGAGCCCAGGGAUGGGGAACCUUGGAACUUCAUAUUUAAAAAACUGAUAAUUCUGAUGAAACUUUGGAAAAAGUUGACACCAAAACAAUGCAAAAAGAAAACCUGUUCUAAAAAGGCAAGUCUUCUUUCAGCCAGGCCAAGAGAAGAGCACACUGGCUUUGGAAAAAGUUUCAAAAUAAACAUUUAAAGUGUUUUAGAAGAGAAUUCCAUAUGAUGGAAUGAGGGCUUCCAGAAAGCGUUCCCUUCUGGUGUUUUAUUCCUUUUAGAUGUAUCAAUGUUUGGGGUGUACGUGGCCAGGAUGUUGAAUAACGCUGCGUUGUGAAAUGUACCUUUGUUUCCUUGAAUUAAACUUCUUAAACGAUU